Molecule: ribosomal RNA, 520 nt
Filed under: uncultured Glomus
Lineage: Eukaryota; Fungi; Glomeromycota; Glomeromycetes; Glomerales; Glomeraceae
Description: SSU rRNA
Rfam family: Eukaryotic small subunit ribosomal RNA
Source: RNAcentral
AGCAGCCGCGGUAAUUCCAGCUCCAAUAGCGUAUAUUAAAGUUGUUGCAGUUAAAAAGCUCGUAGUUGAAUUUCGGGAUUAGUACGCUGGUCGUGCCUUCGGUAUGUACUGGUGUUACUGGUUCCUACCUUCUGACGAACCGUCAUGUCAUUAAUUUGGUGUGGCGGGAAAUCAGGACUGUUACUUUGAAAAAAUUAGAGUGUUUAAAGCAGGCUCGCGCCUGAAUACAUUAGCAUGGAAUAAUGAAAUAGGACGUUCGAUCCUAUUUUGUUGGUUUCUAGGAUUGACGUAAUGAUUAAUAGGGAUAGUUGGGGGCAUUAGUAUUCAAUUGUCAGAGGUGAAAUUCUUGGAUUUAUUGAAGACUAACUACUGCGAAAGCAUUUGCCAAGGAUGUUUUCAUUAAUCAAGAACGAAUGUUAGGGGAUCGAAGACGAUCAGAUACCGUCAUAGUCUUAACCAUAAACUAUGCCGACUAGGGAUCGGAUGAUGUUAUUUUUAAUGACUCAUUCGGCGCCUUAAC